GAUCCUGGCUCAGGAUGAACGCUAGCUACAGGCUUAACACAUGCAAGUCGAGGGGCAGCAUUGGAGUAGCAAUACUCAGAUGGCGACCGGCGCACGGGUGAGUAACACGUAUCCAACCUGCCGCUUACUCGGGGAUAGCCUUUCGAAAGAAAGAUUAAUACCCGAUGGUAUAAAGAGUUCGCAUGUUCUCUUUAUUAAAGAAUUUCGGUAAGCGAUGGGGAUGCGUUCCAUUAGAUAGUUGGCGGGGUAACGGCCCACCAAGUCUACGAUGGAUAGGGGUUCUGAGAGGAAGGUCCCCCACAUUGGAACUGAGACACGGUCCAAACUCCUACGGGAGGCAGCAGUGAGGAAUAUUGGUCAAUGGACGAGAGUCUGAACCAGCCCAAGUAGCGUGAAGGAUGACUGCCCUAUGGGUUGUAAACUUCUUUUAUAAGGGAAUAAAGUGAGGGACGUGUCCCUUUUUGUAUGUACCUUAUGAAUAAGGAUCGGCUAACUCCGUGCCAGCCGCGGC
This 511-nucleotide ribosomal RNA is filed under the name uncultured bacterium. RNAcentral's name for it is "bacterial SSU rRNA". It matches the Rfam family "Bacterial small subunit ribosomal RNA", at positions 15 to 518 of the family's 1533-position model. The record is from RNAcentral.